AGGAUGAACGCUGGCGGCGUGCCUAAUACAUGCAAGUCGAGCGGCAGCACGGUCUUCGGACUGGUGGCGAGCGGCGGACGGCUGAGUAACGCGUAGGAAUAUACCCCAAAGUGAGGGAUAACUGCCCGAAAGGGUGGCUAAUACCGCAUGUGGUCUUCGGACUAAAGCCUUCGGGGCGCUUUGGGAAUAGCCUGCGUAAGAUUAGCUAGUUGGUGAGGUAAUGGCUCACCAAGGCGACGAUCUUUAGCUGGUCUGAGAGGAUGACCAGCCAGACUGGAACUGAGACACGGUCCAGACUCCUACGGGAGGCAGCAGUAGGGAAUUUUCCACAAUGGCGAAAGCCUGAUGGAGCAACGCCGCGUGCAGGAUGAAGGCCCUCGGGUCGUAAACUGCUUUUAUGUGCGAAGAAUAUGACGGUAACACAUGAAUAAGGGUCGGCUAACUACGUG
Molecule: ribosomal RNA, 449 nt
Filed under: uncultured bacterium
Lineage: Bacteria
Description: bacterial SSU rRNA
Rfam family: Bacterial small subunit ribosomal RNA
Source: RNAcentral